Molecule: ribosomal RNA, 313 nt
Filed under: uncultured Methanosaeta sp.
Lineage: Archaea; Methanobacteriati; Methanobacteriota; Methanomicrobia; Methanotrichales; Methanotrichaceae
Description: bacterial SSU rRNA
Rfam family: Archaeal small subunit ribosomal RNA
Source: RNAcentral
GUUAAGUCAGGCAACGAGCGAGACCCACGUCCACAGUUGCCAGCAUACCCUCCGGGGUGAUGGGUACACUGUGGAGACCGCCGCUGGCUAAAGCGGAGGAAGGAGUGGGCAACGGUACGGUCAGUAUGCCCCGAAUCUCCCGGGCUACACGCGGGCUACAAUGGUUGGUACAAUGGGCAUCUACCCCGAAAGGGGAAGGAAGUCUCUUAAAGCCAAUCGUAGUUCGGAUUGAGGGCUGCAAUUCGCCCUCAUGAAGCUGGAAUCCGUAGUAAUCGCGUUUCAACAGAACGCGGUGAAUACGUCCCUGCUCCUU